Molecule: ribosomal RNA, 253 nt
Filed under: uncultured bacterium
Lineage: Bacteria
Description: partial 16S ribosomal RNA
Rfam family: Bacterial small subunit ribosomal RNA
Source: RNAcentral
UACGGAGGGUGCGAGCGUUAAUCGGAAUUACUGGGCGUAAAGCGCACGCAGGCGGUUUGUUAAGCUAGAUGUGAAAGCCCCGGGCUCAGCCUGGGAUGGUCAUUUAGAACUGGCAGACUAGAGUCUUGGAGAGGGGAGUGGAAUUCCAGGUGUAGCGGUGAAAUGCGUAGAUAUCUGGAGGAACAUCAGUGGCGAAGGCGACUCCCUGGCCAAAGACUGACGCUCAUGUGCGAAAGUGUGGGUAGCGAACAGC